RNAcentral lists this ribosomal RNA (460 nucleotides) under uncultured bacterium. Its description in RNAcentral is "partial 16S ribosomal RNA". It matches the Rfam family "Bacterial small subunit ribosomal RNA", at positions 338 to 795 of the family's 1533-position model. The record is from RNAcentral.
CCUACGGGCGGCAGCAGUGAGGAAUAUUGGUCAAUGGCCGGAAGGCUGAACCAGCCAUGCCGCGUGAAGGUCAGUGCCCUAUGGGCGUUAAACUUCUUUUGUGCGGGAGCAAUAAUGGUCACGUUUGGCCAGACGAGAGUACCGUACGAAUAAGCAUCGGCUAACUCCGGGCCAGCAGCCGCGGUAAUACGGGGGAUGCAAGCGUUACCCGGAUUUAUUGGGUUUAAAGGGUGCGUAGGCUGGGAGGUAAGUCAGCGGUGAAAUGCCCCCGCUCAACGGGGUGAAGUGCCAUGGAUACUGGCGUGCUGGAAUGCGGAUGCCGUGGGAGGAAUGUGUGGUGUAGCGGUGAAAUGCAUAGAGAUCACACAGAACACCGAUUGCGAAGGCAUCUCACGAAUCCGCGAUUGACGCUGAUGCAGGAAAGCGUGGGUAUCAAACAGGAUUAGAUACCCGUGUAGUC